ACAUAUUGCAGCAAGCAGAUUUUUAUCCUGUUCAGUUACCUGAAGAAAAAAGAAAAACAAAGGAGGAAACCGGAGCUCCUGGAGGAAACCCAUACAGACUCAGGGAGAACAUGCACACUCUACACAGAAAGGACCAGGACCUGUAUAAGUACAACUGUGAUGAAUCUAACAUUAUCGCAUAAUUGAGGACGAAAGAAAACGAAAGCGUACGAAGAAUCACGAAGGUUGAACGAUAAAGCACGAAAACGCACGGAGAUGCCCGAAGAUGAGCGAGAGCGCACGACGACGCACGAAGGCGGACGAAGACCCAUAAACACCAACUUGCACCACCAAUCAGACAGGAUUGCAACACGCAAUUUUUUGUUUGGAUUUAUUUCAAUAUUCCAAACUGUAUUUAUCAGACUUCAAACGAAGGGCAUUUACAUUGCUGCACUAAUUAUGUGCUGUAUUAA
This is a long non-coding RNA of Trichomycterus rosablanca, 452 nucleotides long. RefSeq lists it as uncharacterized. The transcript is spliced from 3 exons. The record is from RefSeq and is a predicted model, not a curated record. NCBI's taxonomy places the organism in Eukaryota, Metazoa, Chordata, Actinopteri, Siluriformes, Trichomycteridae.